GACGAACGCUGGCGGCGUGCCUAAUACAUGCAAGUCGAACGCACUCUCGUUUAGAUUGAAGGAGUUUGCUCCUGAUUGAUAAACAUUUGAGUGAGUGGCGGACGGGUGAGUAACACGUGGGUAACCUGCCCUAAAGUGGGGGAUAACAUUUGGAAACAGAUGCUAAUACCGCAUAAAACCUAACACCGCAUGGUGUAGGGUUGAAAGAUGGUUUCGGCUAUCACUUUAGGAUGGACCCGCGGUGCAUUAGUUAGUUGGUGAGGUAAAGGCUCACCAAGACCGUGAUGCAUAGCCGACCUGAGAGGGUAAUCGGCCACACUGGGACUGAGACACGACCCAGACUCCUACGGGAGGCAGCAGUAGGGAAUCUUCCACAAUGGACGAAAGUCUGAUGGAGCAACGCCGCGUGAGUGAAGAAGGUUUUCGGAUCGUAAAACUCUGUUGUUGGAGAAGAAUGUAUCUGAUAGUAACUGAUCAGGUAGUGACGGUAUCCAACCAGAAAGCCACGGCUAACUACGUG
RNAcentral lists this ribosomal RNA (520 nucleotides) under uncultured bacterium. Its description in RNAcentral is "partial 16S ribosomal RNA". It matches the Rfam family "Bacterial small subunit ribosomal RNA", at positions 28 to 507 of the family's 1533-position model. The record is from RNAcentral.